GAUGAAGAACGCAGCGAAAUGCGAUAAGUAAUGUGAAUUGCAGAAUUCAGUGAAUCAUCGAAUCUUUGAACGCACAUGGCGCCUUCCAGUAUCCUGGGAGGCAUGCCUGUCCGAGCGUCGUUUCAACCCUCGAGCCCCCGUGGCCCGGCGUUGGGGAUCUGCCACGGUAGGCCCCUAAAACCAGUGGCGGACCCGAAGGCCCUCUCCUUUGCGCAGUAGCAUCAGCCUCGCAUUGGGAUCCCUCGGCGUCCUGCCUCUAAACCCCCCACAAGUCCGCUCCGGCGGCACCAAGGUUGACCUCGGAUCAGGUAGGAAUACCCGCUGAACUUAAGCAUAUCAAUAAGCGGAGGA
RNAcentral lists this unclassified non-coding RNA (351 nucleotides) under soil metagenome. RNAcentral's name for it is "partial contains 5.8S ribosomal RNA, internal transcribed spacer 2, and large subunit ribosomal RNA". The stretch from base 1 to 120 matches the Rfam family "5.8S ribosomal RNA", at positions 35 to 154 of the family's 154-position model. The record is from RNAcentral.